AAAUUGAAGAGUUUGAUCAUGGCUCAGAUUGAACGCUGGCGGCAGGCCUAACACAUGCAAGUCGAACGGUAACAGGAAGCAGCUUGCUGUUUCGCUGACGAGUGGCGGACGGGUGAGUAAUGUCUGGGAAACUGCCUGAUGGAGGGGGAUAACUACUGGAAACGGUGGCUAAUACCGC
RNAcentral lists this ribosomal RNA (178 nucleotides) under Salmonella enterica. Its description in RNAcentral is "partial 16S ribosomal RNA". It matches the Rfam family "Bacterial small subunit ribosomal RNA", at positions 1 to 172 of the family's 1533-position model. The record is from RNAcentral. RNAcentral also lists the same sequence under 1 other name. Lineage: Bacteria; Pseudomonadati; Pseudomonadota; Gammaproteobacteria; Enterobacterales; Enterobacteriaceae.